UUUUUGUGUCGUUAACAUAAUCGAAAUUUCAAGUUUUUAGUUGCACUUUGUUUUAAAAAUGGCUUUUGUACUUAGGAUACACCCUAUUUCGGAGCGAGCGGGAAUUUUGUCCUCCAACAGUGGAUCGAAGUGUGUUGAGAAAUGUGGACAACCCAUUUAAUUUAGGACCAACGGAGUUCAAGAAAUUGUAUUGCUUAAGUCCAAACUUGGCAGAUGACCUAGUUUGGCAGCUUGAUGGGCAUCUAAGAGGUUCAAGAGUAACCGCAAUAAAGACGGAAAAACAGGUUCUAGCGGUCCUACGAUUUUUUGCGACAGCAUGCUUCCAACGGCCCGUAAGAACAGUGGGGAAUAUCGAUGAGCCAGUCAUCGAUAAGCCGGUCCAUACACCGCGUGACGGAUGCUAGUUAUCAUAAUAUGUUCUGCUCCAAGGUACGAUUUCCAAUGACGCAAGCGGAGCGGCAAGCCGCAAAGGAAAUUUUCGCUUCCGCCUCCUCACCUUUCGUUGCAGGUUCUAUUGGGGCUAUCGACUGCUCUCAUAUCGCUAUUUUGAGCCCGAAGAACCAUGAGGAGGCUUAUGUAAACCACCAUGGUUACCACUCAAUAAAUGUACAAAUGAUAUCCGGGAGCACGUCACGACUCAUUUAUUUGGACCUCAUCUGCAGUACGAAGAGUAAUGCAACGACCAGUCGAAAAUGGUCACCAUAAUAUGUUUUUAAUAGGUAAUAGUGGAGAGGUUAUUUGUUGUCCUUAAAGCAACUUGGCGAUGUCUAUCACGGCAAAGGAUUCUUUUAUAUGAUCCAGGAUUUGCUAGAAGAAUAGUCAGUGCGUGCGCUGUACUGCACAACAUUCGUUUGGACGAGCAAACGAACGAGUUCAAUGAUGUUUUUUCGGACACCGAUGGUUUCUUUUCAGAGCCUUCAGCGGAAAACAUUUGGGUAAAUCUGGAUACCCCAUCCUCAAUAGCAAAACGCGUACAGGACCGACUGAUCGCUAAUUUUUUUACCUAAGCCAAAUAUUCAAAUGGUAUCUACCUGUAAAAACUUCCAAUGGAAUAAUAAGAAUAGUUUCAUGUAAAUAUAGCGUUUUAUUAUUUUAAAAUUCAGUCUUACUUUUAAUUAAAUUUUCUUUAGGUACAUACAUACAUAUAUUUGAAUUUGAGAUCAGCCUCAAUAUGUAUACAGAAUAC
Molecule: long non-coding RNA, 1186 nt
Organism: Rhagoletis pomonella (apple maggot)
Lineage: Eukaryota; Metazoa; Arthropoda; Insecta; Diptera; Tephritidae
Exons: 3
Source: RefSeq, a predicted model, not a curated record